Molecule: ribosomal RNA, 498 nt
Filed under: uncultured bacterium
Lineage: Bacteria
Description: partial 16S ribosomal RNA
Rfam family: Bacterial small subunit ribosomal RNA
Source: RNAcentral
GACGAACGCUGGCGGCGUGCCUAAUACAUGCAAGUCGAACGAGAGCGACCGGUGCUUGCACUGGUCAAUCUAGUGGCGAACGGGUGAGUAACACGUGGGUAACCUGCCCAUCAGAGGGGGAUAACAUCCGGAAACGGAUGCUAAAACCGCAUAGGUCUUCGAGCCGCAUGGCUUGAAGAGGAAAAGAGGCGCAAGCUUCUGCUGAUGGAUGGACCCGCGGUGCAUUAGCUAGUUGGUGAGGUAACGGCUCACCAAGGCCGUGAUGCAUAGCCGACCUGAAAGGGUGAUCGGCCACAUUGGGACUGAGACACGGCCCAAACUCCUACGGGAGGCAGCAGUAGGGAAUCUUCCGCAAUGGACGCAAGUCUGACGGAGCAACGCCGCGUGAGUGAAGAAGGUUUUCGGAUCGUAAAACUCUGUUGUUAGAGAAGAACAAGUGCUAGAGUAACUGUUAGCGCCUUGACGGUAUCUAACCAGAAAGCCACGGCUAACUACGUG